GCCCGGGUGGCUCAGUGGUUGAGCAUCUGCCUUUGGCUCAGGUUGUGAUCCUGGGGUUGUGGGAUCAAAUCCUCCAUCGGGCU
This 83-nucleotide transfer RNA is filed under the name Canis lupus familiaris (dog). It matches the Rfam family "tRNA". From Rfam's summary of the family: Transfer RNA (tRNA) molecules are approximately 80 nucleotides in length. RNAcentral also lists the same sequence under 1 other name. The record is from Rfam by way of RNAcentral. Lineage: Eukaryota; Metazoa; Chordata; Mammalia; Carnivora; Canidae.